This 301-nucleotide ribosomal RNA is filed under the name uncultured bacterium. RNAcentral describes it as "partial 16S ribosomal RNA". It matches the Rfam family "Bacterial small subunit ribosomal RNA", at positions 509 to 808 of the family's 1533-position model. The record is from RNAcentral.
CAGCAGCCACGGUAAUACGAAGGGGGCUAGCGUUGUUCGGAAUUACUGGGCGUAAAGCGCACGUAGGCGGAUACUUAAGUCAGGGGUGAAAUCCCGGGGCUCAACCCCGGAACUGCCUUUGAUACUGGGUAUCUCGAGUCCGGAAGAGGUGAGUGGAAUUCCGAGUGUAGAGGUGAAAUUCGUAGAUAUUCGGAGGAACACCAGUGGCGAAGGCGGCUCACUGGUCCGGUACUGACGCUGAGGUGCGAAAGCGUGGGGAGCAAACAGGAUUAGAUACCCCUGUGUCCCUGUCUCUUAUACA